GACGAACGCUGGCGGCGUGCCUAAUACAUGCAAGUAGAACGCUGAAGGAGGACCUUUCUUCUCUGGAUGAGUUGCGAACGGGUGAGUAACGCGUAGGUAACCUGCCUGUUAGCGGGGGAUAACUAUUGGAAACGAUAGCUAAUACCGCAUAAGAGUAGAUGUUGCAUGACAUUUGCUUAAAAGGUGCAAUUGCAUCACUACCACAUGGACCUGCGUUGUAUUAGCUAGUUGGUGAGGUAACGGCUCACCAAGGCAACGAUACAUAGUCGACCUGAGAGGGUGGUCGGCCACACUGGGACUGAGACAAGGCCCAGACUCCCAAGGGAAGCAGCAAGAGGGAAACUUCGGCAAUGGGCGGAAGGCUGAACGAGAAAAGCCGCGGGAGUGAAGAAGGUUUUCGGAUCGUAAAGCUCUGUUGUAAGAGAAGAAAGAGUGUGAGAGUGGAAAGUUCACACUGUGACGGUAUCUUACCAGAAAGGGACGGCUAACUACGUG
RNAcentral lists this ribosomal RNA (495 nucleotides) under uncultured bacterium. Its description in RNAcentral is "partial 16S ribosomal RNA". It matches the Rfam family "Bacterial small subunit ribosomal RNA", at positions 28 to 507 of the family's 1533-position model. The record is from RNAcentral.